AACAGAAUUUGCAUUAAAUAAGAAUAUAUAUAUAUAUGUAACUUAAGAGUCUAAGAAAUGACCAUUAUAAAGGGCAGAGACAGUUUUCCACAUGUCAGUAUUGUCAGUGGUUCUGAUUCUUUUGAAUAGGUUUUAGCUCAUUCUUUUUAAAAACAUUCAUUUAAAAACCUCCACUCAUUGAAGUAUUUAUUGUAGUAUUAUCUUUACUUUUGUUUUAUCUGUCAGGUAAGUACCUGUAUGUCCCUGAGAAGAAUGGAGAGUGUUUCCGUAGGGUUGUGACCGAUGAAGAGGAGAAGACUGCCAUUCGCAAUGAAGUUCACACAGGACACUUUGGGAUGAAGAGAAUGAUGGGGAAAAUCAUUCAACGAUUUUACUGGAAAGGGAUUGUAAAGGACGUGGAGCAAUGGAUCCUGAAUUGUGAAGCAUGCCAGAGAUUUGAGAGGGUGAAGACUGUUGCCCCAGAACUGAAGCCAAUCAAAGUUGUUUCUCCAUGGUACAUGAUCGGUUGUAUCACUGCUGCAGUACAGUGGAAAGACAGUUUGGAUCGUGUGGCCACAUGUACAGCAGCAGCAGGGAUGUAGUGACUGUGGACUGUUUACCAUCGCAAACAGCCUCGCACUCUGCAUGGGUGAAGAGCCAGGUAAGUUAUGUUAUGAUCAAAAGCAAAUUCGUGAUCAUCUUUUUUCUUGUUUUGUAGCUGGAUCUCUUACUCCUUUCCCGAGCUGUGAGAGAACUCCCCUCCCAGAGGUACAUUUCUGUGAUGUGGAGGUCUACUGCACAUGCAGGAGACCAUACAGGAUUGGACUGGAGCUGCUGGUGGAAUGCGGGAGGUGUGGCGAAUGGUUCCAUGGCCAGUGUGAAGAUCUACAGCGAGAUGACCUCAUCAGUAUGGAGGAGUAUAUGUGCUCCAUUUGCAGAGUUACACACAUGGGUAAGCAUGGUAAGUAAAGGUGAAACAGAUUUAUUAUUUUGUUUUUUACUAUAUGUUUUUUUGAACAUUUUAUACUAAGCAUUCCAGCUUAGUAUAUUAUACUAACACUAAAAUUUGGUAAUGCCUGUCAUAAUUUAUAGCUAUUUACAUAUGUACAGUAGGGCAUUGUUAAUAAGGCUCAUUGUCUUCAGUGUUUAUUUUUCAUGAGCACACAACUACUUAUUUUGAAGACUUUUUUUUUUCAGGAGACCUUGAUUCUAUAUUGAGACGUUUUUAUUUGGAGAAAUAUUGCAGAUGCUUUUGCACUUUCAUUUUUAAUUGGUAUGGUAGUCUUAGUUCCCUUUCA
This is a long non-coding RNA of Acipenser ruthenus (sterlet), 1277 nucleotides long. RefSeq lists it as uncharacterized. The transcript has 3 exons. Lineage: Eukaryota; Metazoa; Chordata; Actinopteri; Acipenseriformes; Acipenseridae. The record is from RefSeq and is a predicted model, not a curated record.